This 495-nucleotide ribosomal RNA is filed under the name uncultured bacterium. RNAcentral describes it as "partial 16S ribosomal RNA". It matches the Rfam family "Bacterial small subunit ribosomal RNA", at positions 30 to 507 of the family's 1533-position model. The record is from RNAcentral.
UGAACGCUGGCGGCGUGCCUAAUACAUGCAAGUCGAGCGAAUAGACGAGGAGCUUGCUCCUCUGACGUUAGCGGCGGACGGGUGAGUAACACGUGGAUAACCUACCUAUAAGACUGGGAUAACUUCGGGAAACCGGAGCUAAUACCGGAUAAUAUAUUGAACCGCAUGGUUCAAUAGUGAAAGACGGUUUUGCUGUCACUUAUAGAUGGAUCCGCGCCGCAUUAGCUAGUUGGUAAGGUAACGGCUUACCAAGGCAACGAUGCGUAGCCGACCUGAGAGGGUGAUCGGCCACACUGGAACUGAGACACGGUCCAGACUCCUACGGGAGGCAGCAGUAGGGAAUCUUCCGCAAUGGGCGAAAGCCUGACGGAGCAACGCCGCGUGAGUGAUGAAGGUCUUCGGAUCGUAAAACUCUGUUAUUAGGGAAGAACAAAUGUGUAAGUAACUAUGCACGUCUUGACGGUACCUAAUCAGAAAGCCACGGCUAACUACGUG